GGAUGUUAUGAUGAUAGGCAAAAUGUUCAACUGCUCUGAAUUAAGCUGACUGAUAAUAGCCUUUCUGAACAUCC
Small nucleolar RNA from Castor canadensis (American beaver), 74 nucleotides. The record is from Ensembl. NCBI's taxonomy places the organism in Eukaryota, Metazoa, Chordata, Mammalia, Rodentia, Castoridae.